Long non-coding RNA from Prionailurus viverrinus (fishing cat), 621 nucleotides. RefSeq lists it as uncharacterized. Lineage: Eukaryota; Metazoa; Chordata; Mammalia; Carnivora; Felidae. The transcript is spliced from 5 exons. The record is from RefSeq and is a predicted model, not a curated record.
GGCAAGUGAGGAUGGUUAUAGCAUUGUAUUGAUUAACACCGAACUCGCUUCCAUAGCCCAGGGGUGUAGAGAUCAUUGCAAAUGCGAUCUUCUGGUAUGUGGAGGCACUGUUUUUCCAAGGAGAGUCCUGCCUCAGUGGUACCUAGUCUUUCAUCAAAUUUUGGGAAUGUGAAAGAAGGCAGGUGAACUCUUGAAUAUUCUCACCAGCUCUAAGUUCCUCUGAUUCUAACUCUACUCAGUUUGUGUCAUCCUGUUUCUCCUUGAUGGAAAGAGAUUUGGAAGCAUUCUGAUUCCUAAUGGAAUCAUCAGAGCAAGUGCAACCAGGGCAAGCCCUGUGGACAAAUACUCUUUGCGAGUUCAGUCUGACAACUGCCCACCCAGAGUGCUGGUACCUACCUAAGGAUAACCCAGCUGCUAGAGAAAGAACUUCUUCUGGCCCCUUGGGCUUAGCCAAGGUGCUUACCGUAUUCAAAUCUAUGAUACAUGUCAGCACAAACCUGGCCAGUGUUACUGCGAAGUGAUGUCAGCAGGUCCAUUAACCCAGAAAGGCGAUUUUAUGAAGCUCUUCACUGGGCUUGAAGCCCAGGAGCAUGGAUGUAGAUGAGUGAAAUGGUGGCAAGA